UACAAUCUGGUGUAAACAGCACAUGAAGUUUUGAUCUUUAAGGAGUAGGUGGAAUUCCGCGGUUGUAA
RNAcentral lists this transfer RNA (68 nucleotides) under Synalpheus microneptunus. RNAcentral describes it as "tRNA-Gln". Lineage: Eukaryota; Metazoa; Arthropoda; Malacostraca; Decapoda; Alpheidae. The record is from RNAcentral.